UACGGAGGGUGCAAGCGUUAAUCGGAUUUACUGGGCGUAAAGCGUCCGUAGGUGGUCUGUUAAGUUGGAUGUGAAAGCCCAGGGCUCAACCUUGGAACUGCAUCCAAAACUAGCAAACUAGAGUAUGUGAGAGGGAGGUAGAAUUUCUGGUGUAGCGGUGAAAUGCGUAGAUAUAGGAAGGAACACCAGUGGCGAAGGCGGCACUCUGGACCAAUACUGACACUGAGGUGCGAAAGCGUGGGGAGCAAACAGGAUUAGAUACCCGCGUAGUCC
This 273-nucleotide ribosomal RNA is filed under the name uncultured bacterium. Its description in RNAcentral is "partial 16S ribosomal RNA". It matches the Rfam family "Bacterial small subunit ribosomal RNA", at positions 524 to 796 of the family's 1533-position model. The record is from RNAcentral.